AUUUCUUGCAAGAAUAUACAAAUAACGCAUAAAAUUUAGAGGAAGGAACACUCAACAAGAGUAUUGUAAACGGUACAAUAUCACUGUCAUGAUCGUGUGCAGGGUUGGACAAAACAAGAUGGCAGACGGUAUUUCCAAACAAAGAUCCAGUCAGGAGCGGACUUCCUUAAGCUUAAAAGUUGCAAGUGAAUGAAGUGUGUUCUAUUUUAUGUCUCCUACUAAAA
This is a long non-coding RNA of Ostrea edulis (European flat oyster), 224 nucleotides long. RefSeq lists it as uncharacterized. The record is from RefSeq and is a predicted model, not a curated record. Lineage: Eukaryota; Metazoa; Mollusca; Bivalvia; Ostreida; Ostreidae. The transcript has 2 exons.